CCUACGGGUGGCAGCAGUGGGGAAUAUUGGACAAUGGGCGAAAGCCUGAUCCAGCCAUGCCGCGUGUGUGAAGAAGGCCUUCGGGUUGUAAAGCACUUUCAGUGGGGAAGAAAGCCUUGGGGCUAAUACCCUCGAGGAAGGACAUCACCCACAGAAGAAGCACCGGCUAACUCCGUGCCAGCAGCCGCGGUAAUACGGAGGGUGCGAGCGUUAAUCGGAAUUACUGGGCGUAAAGCGCGCGUAGGCGGUCUGAUAAGCUGGUUGUGAAAGCCCCGGGCUCAACCUGGGAACGGCAUCCGGAACUGUCAGGCUAGAGUGCAGGAGAGGAAGGUAGAAUUCCCGGUGUAGCGGUGAAAUGCGUAGAGAUCGGGAGGAAUACCAGUGGCGAAGGCGGCCUUCUGGACUGACACUGACGCUGAGGUGCGAAAGCGUGGGUAGCAAACAGGAUUAGAUACCCGGGUAGUC
RNAcentral lists this ribosomal RNA (465 nucleotides) under Vreelandella stevensii. RNAcentral describes it as "partial 16S ribosomal RNA". It matches the Rfam family "Bacterial small subunit ribosomal RNA", at positions 338 to 795 of the family's 1533-position model. Lineage: Bacteria; Pseudomonadati; Pseudomonadota; Gammaproteobacteria; Oceanospirillales; Halomonadaceae. The record is from RNAcentral.